This is a non-coding RNA of Phrynosoma platyrhinos (Desert horned lizard), 72 nucleotides long. NCBI's taxonomy places the organism in Eukaryota, Metazoa, Chordata, Lepidosauria, Squamata, Phrynosomatidae. The record is from the annotation of a GenBank genome assembly.
UCUGGAGUUGGCCUAGUGGUUUGAGUAUUGGACUUUGACUCUGGAGGCCGGGAUUCAAUUCCUGCUCAAGUC